RNAcentral lists this ribosomal RNA (525 nucleotides) under uncultured bacterium. RNAcentral's name for it is "partial 16S ribosomal RNA". The stretch from base 20 to 328 matches the Rfam family "Bacterial small subunit ribosomal RNA", at positions 47 to 358 of the family's 1533-position model. The record is from RNAcentral.
AUUGAACGCUGGCGGCAGGCCUAACACAUGCAAGUCGAGCGGAUGAAGGGAGCUUGCUCCUGGAUUCAGCGGCGGACGGGUGAGUAAUGCCUAGGAAUCUGCCUGGUAGUGGGGGAUAACGUCCGGAAACGGGCGCUAAUACCGCAUACGUCCUGAGGGAGAAAGUGGGGGAUCUUCGGACCUCACGCUAUCAGAUGAGCCUAGGUCGGAUUAGCUAGUUGGUGGGGUAAAGGCCUACCAAGGCGACGAUCCGUAACUGGUCUGAGAGGAUGAUCAGUCAAAAGGGAAAUGAGACACGGGACGGAGAACGAGGGGAGGAAGAAGUGGGGAAAAGGAAGAGAGGGGCGAAAGGAGGAGGGAGCCAGGGGGAGGGUGUGAAGAAGGGUGUGAGAUUGAAAAGCACGUUAAGGUGGGAGGAAGGGCAGUAAGUUUAUGCUUUGUUUUGUUGAGGUUAGCAAAAGAAAAAGAACCGACAAACUGCGUGCCAGCGGCCGAGAAAAUGAACAGAACAGAAAACGUCUAAAC